RNAcentral lists this long non-coding RNA (657 nucleotides) under Musa acuminata (dwarf banana). RNAcentral describes it as "long non-coding RNA (MACU_LNC006491)". Lineage: Eukaryota; Viridiplantae; Streptophyta; Magnoliopsida; Zingiberales; Musaceae. The record is from RNAcentral.
UUUGAAGCACGCCGCCUGGGACAUUAGCGAGGCGCUCGGGCCUCGCCUCGCCUCGCCCGAGCGCCUAGGCGAGCGCCAGAGCGCCUUUUUCAAUCACUGUGACAGCCUAGUAGUUGGAUCAACAUAAUGCGUCGAUCAAGAUGGGAUGUUUACCAGACGAUUACUAUUAGUAAGCUGCUAAAUGAGAUAGAGGCCCCAUUAUGUCGAGAUUCGAAAGAGGAGUUGGCUCCUGACUUCUGAAAGAAUAGCUGCUUAGCAUGACAGGAUACCGAUAUUAUGGCUCCAAGGAACAUGAGUAAAUAUGUUGAAGCUAGUUUAGAUGUAUACACAGUGUGAUUAUAUAAAAGAUCUUUUGUCUUUUUUUGUUUUCUCCUUCCCAUCAAGUAUGUUUGAAACUCGCAAUCUUUGGGACAUUGAUUGAUCUUUUUCUACCUACUUCUCUUUGGAGAUUUUGCAGCCCCUACACCUUAAUUGCUUUGUUAUUCUUGUGUGUUCUAUUGAUCGGUUAAUUGUUUUGCUUUUACUUACUGGUGAAAUUUAUAAUUUCGGUGAAGUUUUGAGGAGCCAAAAGGUUUCAAGAAGAUGCCAUGGACAAGUGCAUUGGAGUGCCCUGGAUGCCCACCUUUGAGAGCCUUGACGACUGACGUGCUCGGUCUU